GAUGUUAGGGUGAGCAAAGGACUGAAAAUCCUUGUGUCGGCGGUUCGAUUCCGUCCAUCACCA
Molecule: transfer RNA, 63 nt
Filed under: Dyadobacter chenwenxiniae
Lineage: Bacteria; Pseudomonadati; Bacteroidota; Cytophagia; Cytophagales; Spirosomataceae
Description: tRNA-OTHER
Rfam family: tRNA
About the family: Transfer RNA (tRNA) molecules are approximately 80 nucleotides in length.
Source: RNAcentral